UGAGCUCCAGGUUGAUUUGGGGCUUUGCCGAGUCUUUACUAUGCGUAUUUUGAUAGUUGUACAGUCGUGGAUUCUAGUAUAGGCUUUGUAGAUAUUUUAAAACUAUCAUUUGUAUUCAUAGUUUUACCUGUCACAUGUAUUGGUUCAGCUAGUCGACAUGUGUUGUAUUAGCUUCUCAGUAGCAAAUCUAUAUGCAUAGUAGUUCACUUUCUCGUCGUAGGUCACUUGUAAAGCAUGUGUUCAUAUGGUACUUGUCCGCCUAACCUAGGGUGGGGUGUGACAAAAGUGGUAUCAGAGUCGUUCAUCCUACGGAGUCUACAAAGCCGUGUCUAGUAGAGCCAUACUUAUGAAUGUGUUGUGUGCCAUAUUUAUAAAUAGGGACUGCUUGGACAUUUAGCAAAUGUUACCUUCCUUCAUAAUCUAAAUCGUGCGAUAGAGCGAAGUUAAGAAGUCAAUUUCCACUUGUACCUGAUCAUGUUAGUCAUAUUAUGCGUACUAUGGUUAAGGUUAUUGGUAGCUAAAAUGUCAACAAAACUUUAUUGAGCUCAUUUUAUUCGACCAUCCUACUCCACAAGGUAUGUAAAGGUUUUUAUGUUAGUUUCAUCUAAAGUUGCAUUUGUACCAUUUGUAUCACGUUUGUUCAGUUGAGAAAGAUAUAGUAUGCUUAUCCAUAUUCUUAAAAAAUGAUGGGUUACCUUGUUACAUAUAGGAGCUGUAGCAUUUCCAACCACAUCUUCUUAGGAGGAUAUACCCACUCUUGAGUUCUAUAUUUCCCCAUAUUUACAGGAUCUAUUCCUAAAGAGGACACUCGUUCUUAGUCUAUGAUAUACAUAGAAUUUUCAGCGUUACACAUGUACUCGAAAUUGAUGUUGUGGAAACCAGUUUCUUUUAGUUGGAAAAAGGCAGUGACACAAUCUGAUAGGUGCAUGUACCAGUGCAAUUCUGUUACUAGAGAGGUACCUAAUUGGCUGACAAGGCCCAAAUUCUCACCAUAUAUCAUCCCAAAUAUGUUAAUAGUUGGCAUUUUAUAUGAUAUGUGCCAACUACCCCGAAUAAGUACUAAUAACAUUUAUAUUCUUUUCAUGAUUAUAAAACUUAGGGACAAGUGUGCUAAUUGCUGCAAAUGAUAUAUGGAUGGCAGUUCCUACUACAAUCUAUAUUUUGGUGAUAGAGGAUUAGUAUGUGACCAAAGGGUAAGGUUAACAAAAGGAAAAUUGAUUGGUUAGACCUAAAUUGUGAUUAAUGAGGUUGUACAUAGUGGGAUUAGAGCACAUGAAGCUACUAGUUUUGAUUAAAAGGUACUUGUUAGACAGGAAGCAUGUGAGAAUGAAGCGUGAAUGACACAUGCCGAAUAUGUACGUAGAGCUUCUAGUUAGAAAGAGAUUGUACAUGUAAAAUCCCCUAAACAUAGGAGUAGGGGUGAUAUGAGGAUGCUAUAGAAGAGUGAGAUAGAUGGUUACGAAAGAGUGGUUGCUACGUGUAUGAGGCAAGAAUAAGGUAUCAACCUUCAACCCUAACAAGUUAUAAAGGUGCACCUUGGAACAACUUUGUGAACCUUUGUUAGAUAGAAAAGUCAUUUUAGUAUUGCUUCAAGCUUUGAUAUUUGGUCUUGAUAACAAAAAAAAAAAAAAAGGGAAUAGAAAGGCUACCUGGAGAGAAGAUACAUGGACAUAAUUCAUCUACAUCAUUAGUACAAAAGAGAAGUAGAGCAUUAUACACAUGUAUAGACUUCCAUCAAUUGAAUAGAGCUAUUACAUGAUUCAUUUAAUAUAUGCCUAUAGUAAUUCAUCAAUCAUAGUCCAAUUAAGGGAGAGGAAAAAUUCAUCAUAUGCUAGUUGUUCGUAUUUGAUAUCUUGCAUGGGAAAAGAGUGGGAGCACCCUCACUUGUUAUAAAAAAAAUGAGGAAAUUUAUUAGCAUGGCCAGACCUAUCUAGUUAAGCCGAAAGCCGGCUAACUGUAAGACGUUAUGAAUCAUGAUAUAACUUUAUAGGUACCUGACAUUAGAGUUCAUGUUUUAUGGUCUGUUCAAGUUUCACUAUUUAUUUUCUAUUUUGACCUUGAAAAGGCACCAGACAUUGAGUGUGAUGUUACACAAACUAGUAAAAGAGGUAAAGUUGACCUCGACCUCUUACUCUAAAAGAUGAACCAUUGCAGAUUUUUUUCUCUCUAUCUUAAAUGUAGUAUUUAUAUUAACCUAGAAGGAAGCCAAUCCCCAAUAGCAGAACACCUAUAAUAAUUCUGAGGAGAUUGAAGAGAGUAAAUGGGGAAAUCAAUUGUAUAUGCUUUGAGGUGAGUAAGGAAUAUGAGCAGAACUAUCCCACCCGUGACCUAACUCUUAAGACAAUGUUUUUUUCCCAUAAUAUGGUAAAGUGGUUCUAUAGGAUAUCUCAUAGUUUUCAAAGAUGGUUUGUUAUAUAAUUAUAUAUGCUACAUGUUCUAUAACUCAUCUUUUUGUAUGACAUUUGUCCUUUAUGGAUUACUUUCUCACAUGUUACCUAAUGUCAUAGAAUGCUUGCAUGUAAGUGGUUUCCGCUUCGGAGCACCCUUGCUUAUUGCUAUAUGUUUUCGUAGGACCUUUCCCUACAUGUUGUUUAUUGCACUGGUUACUUCCCAGAGCACCCUUGUUUAUUGUUGUAUGUUUUCGUAGGACCUUUUUCCCUACAUGUUAUUUACUGCACUGGCUACUUCCCACAUGUCACUUGUCCAUAUUGUGUGGGUAUUGCAGGAUAAUUGAUUAUAUGCUAUGGGCAAAAUUAGUGCUUAUAUGAAUCGCAUACCACUUGUUUGCAUGUCAUAUGCAUCAUAAACCAUUUCUAUAUAUAUUACAUGCCUUGUAGCCUACUUGCUUAAACAUUACAGGCCUUAUAGCUUUUAUGGCCAUGUGUCAUGUGCUCAUCUAGUCCAUUUGCUACAUGCCUUAUAGUACAUUGGCUCACACGCUGCCCUAUAAUUCAUAUGUGCACAUACACUACAUAUUUAUAUAGCCUAGUGCCCGUAUAUUAUGCGCUCCCUUUUGUGCUAGUCUGCCUAUGUGUCAUACCCAAUGUGACUUAUUUCUCCAUAUACUAUGCCCAUCUGUGCUUAUUGACUUGAGUUUUGAACAUUUUGGGAAAACGUUUCCUUGUAUCAUUAUGUAGUGAAGAUUUUGACCAGAAAAGGUUGGGCAUAUAUAUAAAUUUUAUCACAAUCAUAGAUAAAUUACUUAGAAUAAUGCCUCAUUCGAGGGUGCGACAUAAAAUUUAGAGUUUAUAUUAACACGUAUGCGUUAUUAUAAGACUCACCUCUAAAAAGGGUCAUAAGAUAAAAGAGAAGGGAAAGUAGAGCCCCGAUAGGUUAGGCCUAUGAUUUUAUGUGUCCGUUCCAUAUAGUUGUUUUUAGGAAAUACUAUAGUUAUUCUUGAUUGUUAAGGCCCGAAAGCUAAGAACAAAAGGUGUAACCUCCAUUGAGGUGUUGUGGAAGGACUAGAAUAUAACGUAAGAUACUUGGGAAUAAAAGAUGGUAGAGAUCCUAAACACCCCUCCACAUUCUAAACAUCAACAUAAGGAUAUGAGAUCAUAUGGUCCCCUUAUAUGAUCAUAAGUCCUACUAGCAUUUGUUCAUUUGAUAUGCCAUUUGCAUGUUUUUUGUUUAGUAGGUAUAUUAAAUUUCUUAUUUGUAUGAGUUCUACUUGUGUAUCAUCAGUGAAUUAUAUGGUCAAGAAAGGGGUUUAAUUACUCAUAUUUAUAUUUCAUGAACCAUAUCUAGUGAGACAUCAUGCGAGACUUUUCUCUGUGUUUUAGGUUAUUCUAUAGAUUUUGGAUAUUCCAGUUGAUAAAAGGAACUCUCGCAAAUCUCCAAAUGAAAUUCAAGAUUAACCAAACUAUCAACUACACCUAUCAUUCGUCCUCGAAUGAUCAUAAGGGGGGAAGGAUGUGACACCACAUAUUCUACGAUGCCUUGUGGUAUAGUUAUGGACUCAGAUUUCUAUGCGACUAGUGACAAUAGAAUAGGUUUAAAGUGAGAUAGUAAAAGUUGGUAUUUGAUGUAAGAGUCAAAGUGGUCAAGUGCGUAUUAGUGUUAUGGUCUUGUAAAGGAACUAAGACUGGGAAAAUGGUGUAAAAUAAGUGAGGUGCUUGCUUGACUAAACUGUGCUAGUAGGUGACAAGUAGGUGAUACACCUACUUAGAAUUAAUGGACUGCAUUCUAAGUGGAAAGGGCAAAGUAGGUGAUGCACCUACUUAGAAUUAGUGGACUACAUUUUAAGUGAAAAGGGCAAGUAGGUGAUCCACCAACUUAAAAACUUGUGGCAGAAAUUAAGGAGGUGAUGCACCUACUUGUUUAAAAGUAAAGGACCAUAUUAUAUCUCCAAUUUAAUAAGUGAAAACGUCCAAAAGGGACUCUAAAGCACUCAAGCUUAUCACAUCUCCUUCAUCACUUAUUGUCCAGAAAAUUGCUCCCAAGGAAAGCCAUAGAAGCUCCAAGAGUUCUGGUUUAUAGCUUCACCAUUAAAAUCUGAAGCAAAGCCUUUCUUUUUAAAGUACAAGUUAGUAGAACAUAUCCCAUCUAAAGGAAUUCAGGUGAAUAAUUUGAUUUAACAUCAAGUUAUGCGGGAGAGGACAACCUAAACCUGGAAGAAUCCAAGUCUUAGAAAGUGAGGUUUCUGUCCAGCAAGAUAAAUAAUCUGAAAGGAAGACGGUUAGCUCAUUGUAAUAUCCAAAGCUGUGCAGCAAGGUAUGUAAGGCUAUUCGAUUUCCUAUUUCUUUGGCAUGAAUCCAACACUUGUAUUACAAAAGACAAGCUUUCUAUGUGCCCUUGGUAGUGACUGAUCCAUAGUUGCAGUUCGUACUCCCUAGAGCAUUAAAGUGAGUACUCUAAUAUGAGUUUAUUACUAAAUGUGCGUGACUUUAACUCUACCAAGUAUUAGCAUGCAAGGGUUAAACGUGUUUCAUCAUCAAAGUACCCUUGGCACGUAUUCCCCUUAUAUAAAUCAAAGUGAUCCUAGAUUACACAUGGUACAUAUGUUUAUAUGUUGGAUAUACAAUUUGCCCAUAUCAAGCUAACUUCCUUCAAUUGUCUAUUCCAUCAUAUAUGUCAUCUUGUCACUUGUUCAUAUGUUUCCUUUAUUGGUAAUUACUCCCAUUGUGUUAGACUAUUGUGUUACCUCACAAGAUCCCUAGUUGCUCUAUUUUACAUUUUAUAUGUGCGUACUUGGAAUAUGUAUCCGUCCUUAAGUUGAAUUUUCCCACGUUCUCCCUUGGUUCCAUUUUCAUGUGUACCUUGUAUUUGAUAUUAGUUAGUGAGUAUUUGGAUACCAUAUAGAGUUCAAAUAUCUUGGCUGAAUGUUAAAUGUCUUCACUAGUUUGUUCUUCAAUUUGAGAUGUCAAAAUGCUUACUGAGUCAUAUAAGCUCCUAAGUUUUACGUUGGUGUCACAUUUGCUUCCCAUGUCAUUUUUAUUAUCUUAAGUCCAUAUUCACAUGUCUUUUACUACUGGUCAAUAGUUCCAAAUCUCAACAAUGAUUAUGACCACCAAAACAACCAUCUCAAAAGAGUUAUGAUCAACAAAAGAAUAAUCUCAAAUGAGUUAUGAACAUCAAAACAACAAUCUCAAAGACUAAAGAAUCUAAGUGAAGCAAUUUGUAUAAUGAUGGGUGGCAGCCCAGGGGCAAAUGUCUAGCAUGGGUCUAUCCUAAUUGGUAUGGAAGGGUGGCAGCUCAGGGGUGAAAGCCUAGCAUGGGUCGAUCCCAAUUGGUAUAGAAAUGUGGCAGCUCAGGGGCAAAAGCCUAUCAUGGGCCGAUCCCAGUUGGUUGAAUUAUGAUGACAACAUCCCAGGGGUUAAAUACCCUGCAUGGGUCAUCCUCUUCUACCACUGAUCAGCUGGUCAUUUGCAUCUUAUGCCUUAUAGAGAUUAGAACGCACUAAAAAGUAAAGAAAAGAAUGUAAUAUACACGAUUCCAAAAGUAUAAGCAAAGAUGGUCUCUAAUCCUUACCUAUUUGUAUUUCGUUUCACUUGAGCUCUCAUUUUACAUAUGGUUGUAUUAUGCCUUACAUAUUCAGUACAUUCUUUCGUUACUACGUCCUUUAUUGGGGACGCUGCAUUCCAUGUUGCAGGUACAAGUACUCAACUAGUAGAUCUCCCCCAUAAAAGCACAUGAUACUCAGCGGUUGUUGGUGAGCUCCAGGUUGAUUCGGGGCUUUGCCGAGUCUUUACUAUGCAUAUUUUGAUAGUGGUACAGUCGUGGAUUCUAGUAGAGGCUUUGUAGACAUUUUAAAACUAUUAUCUGUAUUCAUAGUUUUACCUGUCACAUGUAUUGGUUCAGCUAGUCGACAUGUGUUGUAUAUGUAGCUUCUCAGUAGCAAAUCUAUAUGCAUAGUAGUUCAGUUUCUCAUCAUAGGUCAAUUGUAAAACAUGUGUUCAUAUGGUACUGGUCCGCCUAAUCUAGGGUGGGGUGUGACAAAAGUGGUAUUAGAGUCAUUCGUCCUAGGGAGUCUACGAAGCCGUGUCUAGUCUUACUUAUGAAUGUGUUGCGCGCCACAUUUAUAAAUAGGGGCUGCUUGGACAUUUAGCAUAUGUUACCUUCCUAUAUAAUCUAUAUCCUGCGAUAGAGCGAAGUUAAGAAGUCAAUUUCCACUUGUACCUGAUCUUGUUAUUCAUAUUAUGCUUACUAUGGUUAAGGUUAUUGGUAGCUAAAAUGUCAACAAGACUUUAUUGAGCUCAUUUUAUUCGACCAUCCUACUCCACAAGGUAUGUAAAGGCUUUUAUGUUAUUUGCAUCUAAAGUUGCAUUUGUACCAUUUGUAUCACGUUUGUUCAGUUGAGAAAGAUAUAGUAUGGUUAUCCAUAUGCUUAAAAAAUGAUGGGUUACCUUGUUACAUAUAGGAGUUGUAGCAUUUUCAAGCACAUUUUCUUAGGAGGAUGAAACCAACUCUUGAGUUCUAUAUUUCCUCCAUAUUUACAGGAUCUAUUCCUAUAGAGGACACUCGUUCUUAGUGUGUGAUAAACAUAGAAUUUUCAGCGUUACACAUGUACUCGAAAUUGAUGUUGUGGAAACCAGUUUCUUUUAGUUGGAAGAAGGCACUGGCACAAUUUGAUAGGUGCAUGUACCAGUGCAAUUGUGUUACUAGAGAGGUACCUAAUUGGUUGACAAGGCCCAAAUUCUCACCAAAUAUCAUCCAAAAUAUGUUAAUAGUUGGCAUAUUAUAUGGUAUGUGUCAACCACCCCGAAUAAGUACUAAUAACAUUUAUAUUCUUUUCAUGAUUAUAAAACUUGGGGACCAGUGUGCUAAUUGUGGCAAAUGAUAUAUGUAUGGCAGUUCCUACGACAAUCUAUAUUUUGGCGAUAAAGGAUUAGUAUGUGACCAAAGGGUAAGGUUAGCAAAGGGAAAAAUGAUUGGUUAGACCUAAAUUGUGAUUAGUGAGGUUGUACAUAGUGGGAUUAGAGUACAUGAAGCUACUAGUUAGAGAUGAAGCAUGUGAGAAUGAAGCGUGAAUGACACAUGUCGAAUAUGUACGUAGAGCUUCUAGUUAGAAAGAGAUUGUACAUGUAAAAUCCCCUAAACAUAGGAGUAGGGGUGAUAUGAGGAUGCUAUAGAAGAGUGAGAUAGACGGUUACGAAAGAGUGAUUGCUACGUGUAUGAGGCAAGAAUAAGGUAUCAACCUUCAACCCUAACAAGUUAUAAAGGUGCACCUGGGAACAACUUUGUGAACCUAUGUUAGACAUAAAAGUCAUUUUAGUAUUGAUUCAAGUCUUGAUAUUUGGUCUUGAUAACAACAAGAAAAAAAAAGGGAAUAGAAAGGUUACCUGGAUAGAAGAUACGUGGACCUAGUUCAGCUACAUCAUUAGUACAAAAGAGAUGUAGGGCAUUAUACACAUGUAUAGACUUCCAUCAAAUUGAAUAGAGCUAUUACAUGAUUCAUUUAAUAUAUGCCUGCAGUAAUUCAUCAAUCAUAGUCCAAUGAAGGGAGAGGAAAAAUUCAUCAUAUGCUAGUUGUUCGUAUUUGAUAUCUUGCAUGGGAAAAGAGUGGGAGCACCCUCACUUGUUAAUAAAAAAAUGAGAAAAUCUAUUAGUAUGGCCAGACCUAUCUAGUUAAGCCGAAAGCGGCUAACUCUAAGACGUUAUGAAUCAUGAUAUAACUUUAUAGGUACCUGACAUUAGAGUUCAUGUUUUAUGGUCCGUUCAAGCUUCACUAUUUAUUUUCUAUUUUGACCUUGAAAAGGCACCAGACAUUGAGUGUGAUGUAACACAAACUAGUAAAAAAAGGUAAAGUUGACCUCGGCCUCCUACUCCAAAAGAUGAACUAUUGAGGAUUUUUUCUCUCUAUCUUAACUGUAGUAUUUAUAUUGACCUAGAAGAAAGCCAAGUCCCAAUAGCAGAAAACCUAUAAGAAUUCUAAGGAGAUUGAAUAGAGUAAAUAGGGAAAUCAAUUGUAUGUGCUUUGAUGUGAGUAAGGAAAAUGAGCAUAACUAUCCCACCCGUGACCUAACUCUUAAGAUAGUGUUUUUUCCCCUUAAUAUGGUAGAGUGGUUCUAUAGGAUAUCUCAUAGUUUUCAAAGAUGGUUUGUUGUAUAAUUAUAUAUGCUACAUGUUCUAUAACUCAUCUAUUUGUAUGACAUUUGUCCUUUAUGGAUUACUUUCUCACAUGUUACCUAAUGUCAUAGAAUGCUUGCAUGUAAGUGUAAUCCGUUUCGGAGCACUCUUGUUUAUUGCUAUAUGUUUUCGUAGGACCUUUCCCUACAUGUUAUUUAGUGCACUGGUUACUUCCCACAUGUCACUUGUCCAUAUUGUGUGGGCACUGCAGGAUAAUUGAUCAUACGCUAUGGGCAAAAUUCGCGCUUGUGGGUUAUAUGAAUCGCAUACCACUUGUUUGCAUGUCAUAUGCAUCAUAAACCAUUUCUAUAUAUAUUACAUGCCUCGUAACCUACUUGCUUAAACAUUACAGGCCUUAUAGCUUUUAUGGCCAUGUGUCAUGUGCUCAUCUAGUCCAUUUGCUAAAUGCCUUAUAGUACAUUAGCUCACACGCUACCCUAUAAUUCAUAUGCGCACAUACACCACAUAUUUAUAUAGCUUAAUGCCCGUAUAUUAUGCGCUCCCUUUUGUGCUAGUCUGCCUAUGUAUCAUACCCCUCUGUGCUUAUUGACUUGAGUUUUGAACAUUUUGGGAAACGUUUCCUUGUAUCAUUAUGUAGUGAAGAUUUUGACCAGAAAAGGUUGGGCAUAUAUGUAAAUUUUAUCACAACCAUAGAUAAAUUACUUAGCAUAAUGCCUCAUCCGAGGGUGCGACAUAAAAUUUAGUGUUUAUAUUAACACGGAUGCGUUAUUAUAAGACUCACCUCUGAAAAAGGUCAUAAGAUAAAGGAGAAGGGAAAGUAGAGCCCUGAUAGGUUAGGCUUAUGAUUUUAUGUGUCCGUUCCACAUAGUUUUUUUUAGGAAAUAAUAUAGUUAUUCUUGAUUGGUAAGGCCCGGAAGCUAAGCACAAAAGGUGUAACCUCCAUUGAGGUAUUGUGAAAGGACUAGAAUAUAACGUAAGAUACUUGGGAAUAAAAGAUGGUAGAGAUCCUAAAUACCCCUCCUCGUUCUAAACAUCAACAUAAGGAUCUGAGAUCAUGUGGUCCCCUUAUAUGAUCAUAAGUCCUACUAGCAUUUGUUCAUUUGAUAUGUCAUUUGCAUGUUUUGUGUUUAGUAGGUAUAUUAAAUUCCUUAUUUGUAUUAGUUCUACUUGUGUAUCAUCAAUGAAUUAUAUGGUCAAGAAAGGGGUUUAAUUAGUCAUAUUUAUAUUUCAUGAACCAUAUCUAGUGAGACAUCAUGCAAGACUUUUCUAUGUGUUUUAGAUUAUUCUAUAGAUUUUGGAUAGUCCUGUUUACAAAGGGAACUCUCGCAAAUCUCCAAAUGAAAUUCAAGAUUAACCAAACUAUCAACUACACCUAUCAUUCGAGGACGAAUGAUCAUAAGGGGGGAAGGAUGUAACACCCCGUAUUCUACGUUGCCUUGUGCUAUAGUUAUGGUCUCAGAUUCUUAUGCGACUAGUGACAAUAGAAUUUGUUUAAAGUGAGAUAGUAAAAGGUGGUAUUUGAUGUAAGAGUCAAAGUGGUCAAGUGCGUAUUAGUGUUACAGUCUUGUAAAGAAACUAAGAUUGAGAAAAUGGUGUAAAAUAAAUGAGGUUCUUGCUUGACUAAACUGUGCUAGUUGGUGACAAGUAGGUGAUACACCUACUUAGAAUUAGUGGACUGCAUUCUAAGUGGAAAGGGCAAAGUAGGUGAUGCACCUACUUAGAAUUAGUGGACUUCAUUUUAAGUGAAAAAGGCAAGUAGGUGAUCCACCUACUUAAAAACUUGUUGCAGAAAUUAAGGAGGCGAUGCACCUGCUUGCUUAAAAGUAAAGGACUAUAUUAUAUCUCCAAUUUAAUAAGUGAAAACGUCCAAAAGGGACCUCUAAAACACUCAAACUUAUCACAUCUCCUUCAUCACUUUUUCUCAGAAAAUUGCCCCCAAGGAAAUCCAUAGAAGCUCCAAGAGUUCUGGUCUAUAGCUUCACCAUUAAAAUCUGAAGCAAAGACUUUCUUUUUAAAGUACAAGUUAGUAGAACAUAUCCCAUCUUAAGGAAUUCAGGUGAAUAAUCUUAUUUAAUAUCAAGUUAUGGGGGAGAGGACAACCUAGCUAAACCUUGAAGAAUCCAAGUCUUAGCAAGUGAGGUUUCUGUCCAGCAAGAUAAAUAAUCUGAAAGGAAGACAGUUAACUCAUUGUAAUAUCCAAAGUUGUGCAACAAGGUAUGCAAGGCUAUUUGAUUUCCUAUUUCUUUGGCAUGAAUCCAACACUUGUAUUACAAAAAGUAAACUUUCUAAGUGUCCUUGGUAGUGACUGGCUACUCCCUAGAGCAUUAAAGUGAGUACUCUAAUAUGAGUUUAUUACUAAAUGUGUGUGCUUACUCUACCAAGUAUUAGCAUGCAAGGUUUAAACGUGUUUCAUCGUCAAAGUACACUUGGCACGUAUUCCCCUUAUAUAAAUUAAAGUGAUCCUAAAUUACACAUGGUACAUAUGUUUAUAUGUUGGAUAUACAAUCUGCCCAUAUCAAGCCAACUUCCUUCAAUUGUGUAUUCCAUCAUAUAUGUCAUCUUGUCACAUGUUCAUAUGUUCCCUUUAUUGGUUAUUACUCCCAUUGUGUUAGACUAUUAUGUAACCUCAUAAGAUCGCUAGUUGCUCUAUUGUACAUUUUAUAUGUACGUACUUCGAAUAUGUAUCCGUCCUUAAGUUGAAUCUGCCUACGUUCUCCCUUGGUUCCACUUUCAUGUGUACCUUGUAUUUGAUAUUAGUUAGUGAGUAUUUGGAUACCAUAUAGAGUUCAAAUCUCUUGGUUGAAUGUUAAAUGUCUUCACUAGAUAUGUGCUUCAAUUUUGAGAUGUCAAAAUGCUUACCGAGUCAUAUAGGUUCCUAAGUUUUACGUUGGUGUCACAUUUGCUUCCCAUGUCAUUGUUAUUAUCGUAAGUCCAUAUUCACAUGUCUUCUACUACUGGUCCAUAGUUCCAAAUAUCAACAAUGAUUAUGACCACCAAAAUAACAAUCUCAAAAGAGUAAUAAUCAUCAAAUGAAUAAUCUUAAAGGAGUUAUGAACAUCAAAACAACAAUCUCAAAGAUUAAAGAAUCUAAGUGAAGCAAUUUGUAUAAUGAUGGGUGGCAGCCCAAGGGCAAAUGCCUAGCAUGGGUCGAUCCUAAUUGAUAUGGAAGGGUGGCAGCUCAGGGGCGAAAGCCUACCAUGGGCCGAUCGCAAUUGGUAUAGAAGGGUGACAGCUCAGGGGUAAAAGCCUAACAUGGGCCGAUCCCAGUUCAUUGAAUUAUCAGGACAACAUCUCAGGGGUUAAAUACCUAGCAUGGUUCAUCCUCUUCUACCACUGAUCAGCUGGUCAUUUGUAUCAUAUGCCUUAUAAAGAUUAGAACACACAAAAAAGUAAAGAAAAAAAUGUAACAUACACGAUUCCAAAAGUAUAAGCAAAGGUGGUCUCUAAUCCUUACCUAUUUGUAUUUGAUUUCACUUGAGCUCUCAUUUUACAUAUGGUUGUAUUAUGCCUUACAUAUUCAGUACAUUCUUUCGUACUGACGUCCCUUAUUGGGGAUGGUGCAUUCCAUGCUGCAGGUAGAUGUACUCAACUAGUAGAUCUUCCCUAUAGAAGCACUUGAUACUCAGCGGUUGUUGGUGAGCUCCAGGUUGAUUCGGGGCUUUGCCGAGUCUUUACUAUGCGUAUUUUGAUAGUUGUACAGUCAUGGAUUCUAGUAGAGGCUUUGUAGACAUUUUAAAACUAUUAUAUGUAUUCAUAGUUUUACCUGUCACAUGUAUUGGUUCAGCUAGUCGACAUGUGUUGUAUAUGUAGCUUCUCAGUAGCAAAUCUAUAUGCAUAGUAGUUCACUUUCUCGUCAUAGGUCACUUGUAAAGCAUGGGUUCAUAUGGUACUUGUCCGCCCAACCUAGGGUGGGGUGUGACAGAAACAUAAUUCAAGAAUAUUGUUAUGACAUAAGUAGAAUUAGCUGUUUGUGAGAAAAUUGAACCACACAUGAGCACAUGGGACAAAAUUCAUAACUUGCAUGAAAAUAUUCCAAUAAAAGUUAUCCAAGAGGAGGACAAAGCUAACACAUACCCGUUAAAGUCCUAUAAGAAACAAUGGAAUGUCUUACCCUUAAGAAUAGAAGAAUAAUCACAAGAGUGGAAAAAUACAGUACAACCAAGGAUAUAUAACUUGAAAAUUAAAUAGGAAAAAUCAAAGAAAGAAAAGAAGAUUUUAGCUUUGGAGAAUAAUCACUAAAUUAUUAUCUGGAGAUACAGUCUAGCAGAAUCAAGGGUGCACAUUAAAUACAAUAUAAGCACAAAACUGUACUUAUGAAAAGAAAUAGAAGAACAUAAGAUUUGAAAAAAUUACCCAAAUAAAUUGAAGAACUGUACCACUGAAGGAAGGAAAAUUGGACACAGGGAUACAUAAUAUAAUAUUGUGGGUAUUUGGAAAAACAGAACUGGUUUGCUAAAUUAAAAGAGCGCAGUACACGUGUCUUCGUUUAUCAAUAAGAUAAGUCUAGUUUGUAGUGUAAUUCACGUAACAUCUUUUACAAUUAAAUAUUACAUUGUUUGUCCUAUGCUGUUGACUUUAAUAUAAAAAUAUUUUAAGAAGUUAUCAUAAAUGAUGUUCUACAACACAAUAAAAGUAAUGCAUUAGGAGAGAGGUGGGUAUAAGAAGAAUGUUUUCAGUUUUGUUGCAUCAUGUCCUAGCAUUAUCUUUUGGAAGUCAAUCUUAUGUCUACUGCUCUGUGUCUACCAGUAGAAUCAACACAUAAUCUAACAGUACUAUAAAUUAUAUCACCAGAACCAUAACCUUCCUUAGAUAUAAAAAUCCUUCUAUUAGGAGACCAACAAUAUUGAGUGUUCAAGUAAUAGAGGGUUUUAUCGUUGUUACAUGAAGUUUCACAUUUUCUAUUUCAUAUUGAGUUGAUUAGUACCUCUAGUAGAAUUAUUCCUAAUUGAUAUCGUAUACUUUCUCUAAUUCUUUCGUACUUAAUCUGUAGUAUAC
This 13521-nucleotide long non-coding RNA is filed under the name Solanum tuberosum (potato). Its description in RNAcentral is "long non-coding RNA (STUB_LNC007342)". Lineage: Eukaryota; Viridiplantae; Streptophyta; Magnoliopsida; Solanales; Solanaceae. The record is from RNAcentral.